This 250-nucleotide unclassified non-coding RNA is filed under the name plant metagenome. RNAcentral describes it as "partial contains small subunit ribosomal RNA, internal transcribed spacer 1, and 5.8S ribosomal RNA". The record is from RNAcentral.
GUAGGUGAACCUGCGGAAGGAUCAUUAAAAGGUAUCUGCCCUCCUGGCCGUUAAAAAAGCCAGCGAGAGGUAGUCCCAGAUCAACCACAGUGCGCACAUAUUGAAGUUUUCUUUGCUUUUGGUAGGCGUCGUUCAAAGAAUUUUCAUUUAUUUUUUUUGAACGAUUCUACCAUAAGUAAUGCCCAAUAUCAAUAUAAGCCUUAUUUUGUGACUGAAAUUUUUUUUUAAAAUAAAAAUACAACUUUCAACA